This 563-nucleotide ribosomal RNA is filed under the name Salmonella enterica subsp. enterica serovar Kentucky. RNAcentral describes it as "partial 23S ribosomal RNA". It matches the Rfam family "Bacterial large subunit ribosomal RNA", at positions 670 to 1231 of the family's 2925-position model. The record is from RNAcentral. Lineage: Bacteria; Pseudomonadati; Pseudomonadota; Gammaproteobacteria; Enterobacterales; Enterobacteriaceae.
AGGGAAACCGAGUCUUAAUUGGGCGUUAAGUUGCAGGGUAUAGACCCGAAACCCGGUGAUCUAGCCAUGGGCAGGUUGAAGGUUGGGUAACACUAACUGGAGGACCGAACCGACUAAUGUUGAAAAAUUAGCGGAUGACCUGUGGCUGGGGGUGAAAGGCCAAUCAAACCGGGAGAUAGCUGGUUCUCCCCGAAAGCUAUUUAGGUAGCGCCUCGUGAAUUCAUCUCCGGGGGUAGAGCACUGUUUCGGCUAGGGGGCCAUCCCGGCUUACCAACCCGAUGCAAACUGCGAAUACCGGAGAAUGUUAUCACGGGAGACACACGGCGGGUGCUAACGUCCGUCGUGAAGAGGGAAACAACCCAGACCGCCAGCUAAGGUCCCAAAGUCAUGGUUAAGUGGGAAACGAUGUGGGAAGGCCCAGACAGCCAGGAUGUUGGCUUAGAAGCAGCCAUCAUUUAAAGAAAGCGUAAUAGCUCACUGGUCGAGUCGGCCUGCGCGGAAGAUGUAACGGGGCUAAACCAUGCACCGAAGCUGCGGCAGCGACACUGUGUGUUGUUGGGUAG